This 76-nucleotide transfer RNA is filed under the name Litorivicinus lipolyticus. RNAcentral's name for it is "Litoricola lipolytica tRNA-Trp". It matches the Rfam family "tRNA". Rfam says of the family: Transfer RNA (tRNA) molecules are approximately 80 nucleotides in length. Their secondary structure includes four short double-helical elements and three loops (D, anti-codon, and T loops). The record is from RNAcentral. Lineage: Bacteria; Pseudomonadati; Pseudomonadota; Gammaproteobacteria; Oceanospirillales; Litorivicinaceae.
AGGCCUAUAGCUCAGCUGGUAGAGCAUCGGUCUCCAAAACCGAGGGUCGGGGGUUCGAAUCCCUCUGGGCCUGCCA